ACAUGGCUCAGGAUGAACGCUAGCUACAGGCUUAACACAUGCAAGUCGAGGGGCAGCAUGGUCUUAGCUUGCUAAGGCCGAUGGCGACCGGCGCACGGGUGAGUAACACGUAUCCAACCUGCCGUCUACUCUUGGACAGCCUUCUGAAAGGAAGAUUAAUACAAGAUGGCAUCAUGAGUCCGCAUGUUCACAUGAUUAAAGGUAUUCCGGUUAGACGAUGGGGUAG
Molecule: ribosomal RNA, 226 nt
Filed under: uncultured bacterium
Lineage: Bacteria
Description: partial 16S ribosomal RNA
Rfam family: Bacterial small subunit ribosomal RNA
Source: RNAcentral